CGUAAUUCAUCACAUUUUUUAGUCAUUCUUUUUUACCAUUAAACAUAUAUAUUUAUGUACAUGCAACCACUAUCUUUUUCAUCAUGUGUAUCAUGUACACUUGUUCAAAAAUCAUCUCAAUAAACAUUGGACCUAUUAUGACCAAACUUUGUACAAUUAUUAUUAGGGUGUCUAGUUUUGGAAAUAUAUUUCAAGGCCACUACCGGUAUAUUGGAUGAAACUACAUUCCCAUUGAUACCCCAUAAAAAUAACAUAAAACUGUUAAGAGGGUGGUAAAGGGUUAUUUUCGUGCAACGUUUUCUGCCUUUUUAUUUCACGUGUUUUUGUGUUUUGACGUUUCAUUUCUCGUUUUCUCGUGUUUGGUUCGACGUGCGUGCCUCGUGUUCUCCUUUAUUUAUUUUCCGUGUUUCGUUUUGGUACUCUUAAUUACUCGUGCUUGUCCCACAUAUGAUUAAAAAGUAAACUGGGACUAAAUGCAAAGUCAAUCCGGGGAUUAUGUGUUCCCUGAAUAUUUAAAUUGCUAUCAAAUUAACUAUAAUGAAUAAUAUGGCGGUAAAAGCUCUACAGAGCUUGUUUUGUUAUGUGUAUAACCGACAUUAAAUAAAUCUUUUAUGCUUAUGUCUUAUAUUUUUCUUUCAAAUCAGAUGCAACUAGCGGACGCUAAAAUGUGACUGCAGGGUCAUCAUGUCCAUUAUAUAAUGACUAGAUGAUCUCCAAGAACGGUUGAUUAAUAAAUUAUUUUACUUUUUCCAUUAAUAUUUACGAUUUUAUUUCUCGUGCUUCGUUUUUUCCGAUUUUUAUUUUCCGUGCAACGUUUUUGCGAUUUUUAUUUCACGUGUUUCUGUGUUCAUGGCCCCUUUACUACCCUCGUGUUAAAUUGAUAACAAAAAAUAUUUCAGUAAAGAUCAGUCAAAAGCAUUAAAAAUAUCAUAAGGAAUAAUGUUUUGGAAAUGACUUUUAAUGAUUCCCCUUUAUUCAGUAUGAUGAAGUAUAUAUGACAAAAAUAUUGCCAAGGUUUGAUAAAUGUUAAUUUUAAUAUGUCUUUAUUUCGUAAAAUGAAUACUUCUGUUUAUUAUGAAUACUUGUUUGAUUGGCUGAUAUUGUUCAUGUAGGUUUGGCUAUAAUACUUGUGAUGUGCAAUAAUUAUAUAUAUGUAACAUAUUGUAAGUAGAAGAAUUUAUUUUAUACAGAUAUAGAAAUAAAUGUUUAU
RNAcentral lists this long non-coding RNA (1210 nucleotides) under Mytilus galloprovincialis (Mediterranean mussel). Lineage: Eukaryota; Metazoa; Mollusca; Bivalvia; Mytilida; Mytilidae. The record is from RNAcentral.